CUGUCCACCCUCAUCUCCUAACAAACUGAAAGACCAGUGUCUCCACUCCCAACCUCCAACAUCUACCAACCAGCAAGACCGGGCUUCAUGGACUCAUACUCAGUGGUGGCAGGCUAAUUGAGUCCAGCUGGGUUCCAUUCCCUCAAUCAGUGGUUGCCUUUAAGAAGGAGCAGUCUCCCUCAAGCAGACGGCAGAUGGUUGAUGUACUCAGAGUGGAUCCCUUCUGGCAAAGACUGUUGUUGGAUCCACCUCCCCCAAGGCUGCUGUUCUGCUCCUUCCUCAGGCUCACCAACUUGGCCUUCAGAACCCCUGGCUCAAACCUGUCCACCCUCAUCUCC
Molecule: long non-coding RNA, 338 nt
Organism: Cyprinodon tularosa
Lineage: Eukaryota; Metazoa; Chordata; Actinopteri; Cyprinodontiformes; Cyprinodontidae
Exons: 3
Source: RefSeq, a predicted model, not a curated record